ACUCAGCUUCAGGUUACUCUAAACACAUUGCUGUGUAGACUCUUAUUGAGAUUUUCAUCCUCUCUUUAGGAGUCCCUGGGCUAGUGGUGAGGCCCUGAGUAAAUGACCCCAGCAGCACAUCACCUGCUGCCAGCACUUCCACGCACAAGUUACACAGAAGGACGAAAAAUGGGACAGCAGAGUCGGGGCCAAGCCUCCAAUUGAUGGAUAAGCUACCAUGAGUCGAUCCCGAUUCCUCAAUUCUCUGCAGUUAUGAAAAACCUGAAGGUUCAAGCAGUCCUGCCCAAACUGUCCCUGCUCUGUGCCCAAGGUUGACCGAUGGCAGGCACCCACUGCACCUUACUAAGUGGGUAGGCUAAUGGAUAGAUGGUGGAUGGAUGG
Molecule: long non-coding RNA, 381 nt
Filed under: Vulpes vulpes (red fox)
Lineage: Eukaryota; Metazoa; Chordata; Mammalia; Carnivora; Canidae
Description: lncRNA (ENSVVUG00000015564.1)
Source: RNAcentral